RNAcentral lists this ribosomal RNA (452 nucleotides) under uncultured Bacteroidales bacterium. RNAcentral describes it as "bacterial SSU rRNA". It matches the Rfam family "Bacterial small subunit ribosomal RNA", at positions 918 to 1370 of the family's 1533-position model. The record is from RNAcentral. Lineage: Bacteria; Pseudomonadati; Bacteroidota; Bacteroidia; Bacteroidales.
GGCCCGCACAAGCGGAGGAGCAUGUGGUUUAAUUCGAUGAUACGCGAGGAACCUUACCUAGACUUGAACGUAAGAGGAAUAUUUAAGAAAUUAGAUAGCCAGCAAUGGCCUCUUACGAGGUGCUGCAUGGUUGUCGUCAGCUCGUGCCGUGAGGUGUCAGGUUAAGUCCUAUAACGAGCGCAACCCCUGCACAUAGUUGCCAGCAUGUAAUGAUGGGGACUCUAUGUGGACUGCCGGCGCAAGCCGCGAGGAAGGUGGGGAUGACGUCAAAUCAGCACGGCCCUUACGUCUAGGGCGACACACGUGCUACAAUGGCCGAUACAGAGGGCAGCUACCUGGUGACAGGAUGCGAAUCUCGAAAGUCGGUCUCAGUUCGGAUCGGAGUCUGCAACUCGACUCCGUGAAGUCGGAUUCGCUAGUAAUCGCGCAUCAGCCAUGGCGCGGUGAAUACG